UGCAUCUUCAUCCUUCGCUCGCCCCGUCCUCAUCAUCGUCGAUCGAUCAAGCGACCUCAGCGUAAACCUUCAGCACGCGUGGACUUACGAGGCUAUGCUUCACGAUGUGUUGGGUAUGAGUCUAAACAAGGUUACUGUGGCUGAAUCUGUGGGG
RNAcentral lists this ribosomal RNA (154 nucleotides) under Hemiselmis virescens. RNAcentral describes it as "partial Microsporidia small subunit ribosomal RNA". The record is from RNAcentral. Lineage: Eukaryota; Cryptophyceae; Cryptomonadales; Hemiselmidaceae.